Molecule: ribosomal RNA, 447 nt
Filed under: uncultured bacterium
Lineage: Bacteria
Description: bacterial SSU rRNA
Rfam family: Bacterial small subunit ribosomal RNA
Source: RNAcentral
AACCCAGACUCCUACGGGAGGCAGCAGUGGGGAAUAUUGCACAAUGGGGGAAACCCUGAUGCAGCGACGCCGCGUGAGCGAUGAAGUAUUUCGGUAUGUAAAGCUCUAUCAGCAGGGAAGAAGAUGACGGUACCUGACUAAGAAGCCCCGGCUAACUACGUGCCAGCAGCCGCGGUAAUACGUAGGGGGCAAGCGUUAUCCGGAUUUACUGGGUGUAAAGGGAGCGUAGACGGCGAUGCAAGCCAGAUGUGAAAGCCCGGGGCUCAACCCCGGGACUGCAUUUGGAACUGUAAGGCUAGAGUGUCGGAGAGGCAGGCGGAAUUCCUAGUGUAGCGGUGAAAUGCGUAGAUAUUAGGAGGAACACCAGUGGCGAAGGCGGCCUGCUGGACGAUGACUGACGUUGAGGCUCGAAAGCGUGGGGAGCAAACAGGAUUAGAUCCCCGUGUA